UGCUAAUUUGACCAUAAAAUCUACGUUUUGUUGAACUUGGCUGUUCGCAUCGAAUCCCCUCCAUUGUUUUCAUUACAUGACAAUAUUAUGACAUCAUUACGACGCAUAUACCUAUUAUUACCGUACAAUGAUAAUAAUAUUACCAAAACUUUGGCGAUACCUUUAUCAUUAUUUAUGACAAUAAUAUCAUUGAUUAAAAUAUAUGAUAUUAAUUAAUUAAUGAUAAAUGAUAAUAUCAAUAGAAAACCUCGUGGAAAACCAAUCAGUAUCAGUUGUGAUAAACUGGAACUUAAGUUCAAAGUAAAAAGUAAAUUGUAAUUUGUAAUUAUUUUAAACCAUGUGGCCAACUGCAUAGUGCUUAUUAGUUAUUACUUAAAUAAUUAAAUAUUAAAUGAUUUAAAUGUAUGAUGUAAUUAGUAAUUAAACUAAUUAUUGUAUGUUUUAUACGUUAUACCGUUAAGUAUACUAACAGUUUAAAUUUCUUUAAUAACAUAAUAAUAUACUGAAGUACUUAACGCAAUAGUUUUUGAAUAAUUAAGUUUGUCGAAAAAUUUCCAUUGAUGACAUCGUAAUUUGUGAUCUAUAUUAUUAAGUGUGGCGUAAAUUUGAUAAUACCUACCACUUGGAAAGCACAACAUUUGUACUUACAAUUUAUUGUUUAAUCAGUUUUGUUCAUUCAGUUACACCACCAAAUGUUAUUCAACAUUUGAUAACACAAAAGUUGUUUUAUUCUAAAAAUUAUUAGCUGACACCAUAGCACAAACCUAAUACAACAUAAUAUAUUAUUAACCCUAUUAUUACUUAUUACCAUCUACUCGGACACAACAAGAUGGCUGCGAGGUGCCUAUCUAUUUAUACCUACAAUAUACUUAAAAAUAUAAUGUUCUCUGUUCAGAAGUACUUUUAAUUUGCAUUUAUUCAAAUUUUGCAUUCUGGCAUAGUAAUUAUUAUUAAGAACUAACAUUAUCCGUAUUUACUACAAAAAUACUUAGUCAGAUGGUUUGAAAGAUAAAUAAUGAAAUCAUAUAACUUUCUACCUCCAAAUUUGCAAAUGAGAACGAUGAUAAAUCAAAAUAUUGUUUCCAAUAUAUAAUUUUGAUAGUUGAAGAUACUAUAAAAUUAAUUAAAUAUUCAACUACUCAAGUUAAUUUCAAAGAAGUUAAAAAAUCAAGUCUGACAAUAUGCAUUCCAGAAGAAAACUAAUUCCAAUAAUAUAGUAAA
This is a long non-coding RNA of Aphis gossypii (cotton aphid), 1221 nucleotides long. RefSeq lists it as uncharacterized. Lineage: Eukaryota; Metazoa; Arthropoda; Insecta; Hemiptera; Aphididae. The record is from RefSeq and is a predicted model, not a curated record. The transcript is spliced from 3 exons.